GUAUUAAUAGUAUAGUUUUAUUAUUUUGCCCUUCCACGGCAAAGACCUCAGAUGAGUUAGUAUA
This 64-nucleotide transfer RNA is filed under the name Atractolytocestus huronensis. RNAcentral's name for it is "tRNA-Gly". Lineage: Eukaryota; Metazoa; Platyhelminthes; Cestoda; Caryophyllidea; Lytocestidae. The record is from RNAcentral.